RNAcentral lists this ribosomal RNA (499 nucleotides) under uncultured bacterium. RNAcentral's name for it is "partial 16S ribosomal RNA". It matches the Rfam family "Bacterial small subunit ribosomal RNA", at positions 28 to 507 of the family's 1533-position model. The record is from RNAcentral.
GAUGAACGCUGGCGGCGUGCCUAAUACAUGCAAGUCGAGCGAACACACGAUAGUGCUUUCCCUCUCUGACGUUCGCGUCGCACGCGUGAGUGACACGCGUGUAACCUUCCUAUUUCACUGGGAUAACUUCGGGAAACCUUACCUAAUUCCCGCUUAUAUUUAACUUCGCAUGACACAAUAGUUACAGACCUUUCUGCUGUCACUUAUAGAUUGACCCGCGGUGUAUUAGCUAGUUGGUGGGGUAACGGCUCACCAAGGCGACGAUACGUAGCCGACCUGAGAGGGUGAUCAGCCACACUGGAACUGAGACACGGCCCAGACUCCUACGGGAGGCAGCAGUGGGGAAUAUUGCGCAAUGGGCGAAAGUCUGACGGAGCAAUGCCGCGUGAGUGAAGAAGGUUUUCGGAUUGUAAAACUCUGUUGUAAGGGAAGAACAAGAGCGGGAGUAACUGAAGGUGUCUUGACGGUACCUUAAGAGAAAGCAACGGCUAACUACGUG